AAUCGAAGAACAAAGAUCUCGGAU
RNAcentral lists this non-coding RNA (24 nucleotides) under Arabidopsis thaliana (thale cress). The record is from RNAcentral. Lineage: Eukaryota; Viridiplantae; Streptophyta; Magnoliopsida; Brassicales; Brassicaceae.